RNAcentral lists this non-coding RNA (45 nucleotides) under Schistosoma bovis. Lineage: Eukaryota; Metazoa; Platyhelminthes; Trematoda; Strigeidida; Schistosomatidae. RNAcentral also lists the same sequence under 1 other name. The record is from RNAcentral.
AUUCAGCUGAUGAGUCUCAAAUAGGACGAAAUGUGCACCCUGAAU